GUUUUGGUCCUAAACUUGCCAUUGUUUUUUAUCAAAUUUACACAUGCAAGCUUCAACAGCCCAGUGAGAUUGCCCAAAACCCCUAAACAGCCAUAAGGAGCGGGUAUCAGGAUUCAGACAUCUAGCCUAAGACGCCUUGCUAUGCCACCCCCACACGGGUUUACAGCAGUGAAUAACAUUAAGACAUGAGCGAAAGCUCGACUUAGUUAUGAUAAAUAUGGCCGGUAAAUUUCGUGCCAGCCACCGCGGUUAUACGAAAGACCAAAAACAAUGGCUUACGGCGUAAAGCGUGACCAAAGCCAGUCAUAAUUUUAAGGAACUACUAUAUCAAAGUCGUAAAACACCUUGACUAUAAGACCACCAACAUCAAAAUGACCUUAAACAAAAAGACCCCUUGACCUCACGAAAGCUAAGAAACAAACUAGGAUUAGAUACCCUACUAUGCUUAGCCCUAAACAUAGAUAGCAAACAUACAAUGCUAUCCGCCAGAGAACUACAAGUGAAAAACUAGAAACUCCAAGGACUUGGCGGUACUCCACAUCGACCUAGAGGAGCCUGUCCUAUAAUCGAUAACCCACGUUAUACCUCACCACCCCUUGCAACUCAGCCUAUAUACCGCCGUCGCCAGCCUACCUUAUGAAAGAAACAAAGUAGACAAGAUAGUUAACAACUAAGACGUCAGGUCAAGGUGUAGCACAUGGAGCGGAAGAGAUGGGCUACACUUUCUAUUACAGAACAUACGAAUAGCACAAUGAAACUUGUGCUUAAAGGUGGAUUUAGCAGUAAGAUAAACAAGAAACUUUAACUGAAACUCGCUCUGGAGUGCGCACACACCGCCCGUCACCCUC
Molecule: non-coding RNA, 848 nt
Filed under: Trachylepis occidentalis
Lineage: Eukaryota; Metazoa; Chordata; Lepidosauria; Squamata; Scincidae
Description: partial 12S ribosomal RNA
Rfam family: Bacterial small subunit ribosomal RNA
Source: RNAcentral